AUUCAGUUGACGAGUCUGGAAUUGGAUGAAACGCGUGUCCUGAAU
This is a non-coding RNA of Schistosoma rodhaini, 45 nucleotides long. NCBI's taxonomy places the organism in Eukaryota, Metazoa, Platyhelminthes, Trematoda, Strigeidida, Schistosomatidae. The record is from Rfam.